Molecule: long non-coding RNA, 1091 nt
Filed under: Homo sapiens (human)
Lineage: Eukaryota; Metazoa; Chordata; Mammalia; Primates; Hominidae
Description: HSALNT0090888
Source: RNAcentral
GAUCAUUGCUGUCAGGUGGCAUUAGCUUCUUUGCAACAUCCUCCUACUAUGUGCCAUGAGGGAAUAAAGCCACAUCUCCCUGGGAAGCUCCUAUCAGUGACUCAGGAGAAAUCCAAGUUCUUUCUCAAGAAGCUCUUCAAACUUUACGCAAAUACAUUUCCACUCCAUUAUUGACCAGAAGGGAGAGCCAUGGUAACCUGCCCCUGCCUUCUACCUCGUCUCUGUGUGUGGCAUCCUGGAGCCAUGUUUCCACCAACGUCUUGACUGUGGCAGAUCUGAGAAACUCUACAUUAUACACAAAUGUUCUCUGGCCCCAGAGAUUAUCGCAGUACAUUGGGUGAGGGUAAGGGGUGAUGAUUCAGGAAGCCAGAAGGCUUGUGGCAGAAUGUCUUCAUUUUGCUGGAACAUCAUGAAAAACUACCUGAUCAGAGUGUCCAUAUGUAAAGAGUUGUAGCAAGUAUACAUGUGUGAGGAGGAAGUAAUUCUCUUUCAAAAAAUCAAGGAAAGGGAGGCAGGAAAAUGAAGUAAUUAGGAGUGUAAAUAGAGAUUAAGCUACAUUUAUACUUUAGUGUUCUCAUUUCAUACUUGUGUGACUUUGGGCAAGGUACUUACCCCUCUCAUUCUUGGUUAUCUCAUAUGUAAAAUGGUGAUAAUAUUGUCAUUUAGGAUUUCAGAGAAAAUGAAACAAGACAGUGUAUCUAAAGUGCUUAGAUGGUUCCUGACUCCAAAAAGUUUUGGUUUUUAUUAAGAUACUGCAAGCCUGCCUUUGACCACUGAUUACUUCUGCCUGAGUUGGAGAGAAGUCAUGUUUGUAUAAUAUGUGAUACUGCAUAUAUGAACACAGAAUUUCUUAUUAGUCCCAGGAAAUAUAUUUUGGUAGUUAGAUAUUUAAAAAAAAAUUAGAAUUAUUUCUGGGCUAUCCUUUAAGAUAAUAUUUCAAAAGUUACGUACAUUUCAUACUUUAUUUUCUAUUGUCAUUUCAAUUAUUGUUCAAUUGUCUCUCAAACAAGAUUUUUAAAAAUAUACUACCAGUUCAUUAAUUGAAAUAUUUUCUUGAAUAGAGUGUAAAUGAAUAAAUAUAAUUAUUCAAA